This 466-nucleotide ribosomal RNA is filed under the name uncultured bacterium. Its description in RNAcentral is "bacterial SSU rRNA". It matches the Rfam family "Bacterial small subunit ribosomal RNA", at positions 29 to 507 of the family's 1533-position model. The record is from RNAcentral.
AUUGAACGCUGGCGGCGCGCCUAACACAUGCAAGUCGAACGAGCGAGAGAGAGCUUGCUUUCUCAAGCGAGUGGCGAACGGGUGAGUAACGCGUGAGGAACCUGCCUCAAAGAGGGGGACAACAGUUGGAAACGACUGCUAAUACCGCAUAAGCCCACGACCCGGCAUCGGGUAGAGGGAAAAGGAGCAAUCCGCUUUGAGAUGGCCUCGCGUCCGAUUAGCUAGUUGGUGAGGUAAUGGCCCACCAAGGCGACGAUCGGUAGCCGGACUGAGAGGUUGAACGGCCACAUUGGGACUGAGACACGGCCCAGACUCCUACGGGAGGCAGCAGUGGGGAAUAUUGCACAAUGGAGGAAACUCUGAUGCAGCGACGCCGCGUGAGCGAAGAAGUAUUUCGGUAUGUAAAGCUCUGUCAGCAGGGAAGAUAAUGACGGUACCUGACCAAGAAGCCCCGGCUAACUACGUG